This 615-nucleotide long non-coding RNA is filed under the name Citrus maxima (pomelo). RNAcentral's name for it is "long non-coding RNA (CMAX_LNC002648)". The record is from RNAcentral. Lineage: Eukaryota; Viridiplantae; Streptophyta; Magnoliopsida; Sapindales; Rutaceae.
AAGAUCUUCAUCGCUUUUUAGUUCCUAUGUGAUUGCCUAUUGACAUUGGACCAUUACUGAUCAGUUAUCCAGUCUGCUUUUGGUUGAAAUUAUGAGAACUUAUGAACUUUUAAGUCUUCAGAAUUUUGAGCAAGACUUUUUAAGGUUUGUAAACUGAUCACCAUUCAAUGGACUAAAGUUGAAUUAAUAGAAGUUAUUUAGUACUUGAGAUGAAUUGCAGGAAUCUGUUGAUGAAGAAACUAGUAAUGGGUGGUUAUAGGUGACACCUACACAUGGAAUUUUGGAGUCUUCAUAGAUGCCAAAGUGAGAUGUUUGAUAACCCUUUACCCAAAAUGGAGAAAAAAGGGCUCUUUAUCAUGGUUUCUCUGUGUUAUGAUUGACAUUCUAAUGUAGGAAAGGGUUGGACAUUGAAGGUGGCAUUAACAAAUUUGUAAAGCAUACUGAAGUAGUUUCUGUUAUGGGCUUGGAAAUAAUUGUAUAUAUCAUGCCAUAUGGUAUAGGGUUUGGGUCCUGUUGAGUGUACUCAUUGUACAUUUGAAACAUUGUAUUGUAUUGAAUUAGCUGUAUUGCAUUAUAUUGUAUUAAGCUAUAAUGCAAUACUAUGUUUGGUGUAAU